AGAACGAACGCUGGCGGCAUGCCUAACACAUGCAAGUCGCACGAGAAAGGGUAGCAAUACCUGAGUACAGUGGCGCACGGGUGAGUAACACGUGAAUAAUCUACCUCCGAGUGGGGAAUAACCUAGGGAAACCUGGGCUAAUACCGCAUAACACUUACGAGUCAAAGCAGCAAUGCGCUUGGAGAGGAGUUCGCGGCAGAUUAGCUAGUUGGUGGGGUAAUGGCCCACCAAGGCGAUGAUCUGUA
This 245-nucleotide ribosomal RNA is filed under the name uncultured bacterium. RNAcentral describes it as "partial small subunit ribosomal RNA". It matches the Rfam family "Bacterial small subunit ribosomal RNA", at positions 26 to 285 of the family's 1533-position model. The record is from RNAcentral.